Molecule: ribosomal RNA, 1446 nt
Filed under: uncultured bacterium
Lineage: Bacteria
Description: bacterial SSU rRNA
Rfam family: Bacterial small subunit ribosomal RNA
Source: RNAcentral
AGAGUUUGAUCCUGGCUCAGGAUGAACGCUGGCGGCGUGCUUAACACAUGCAAGUCGAACGAACCUUCGGGUUAGUGGCGGACGGGUGAGUAACGCGUGGGAAUCUGCCCUCAGGAGGGGGAUAACGGUUGGAAACGGCCGCUAAUACCCCAUAUGCCGAGAGGUGAAAUGAAUUUCGCCUGAGGAUGAGCCCGCGUCUGAUUAGCUAGUUGGUGAGGUAAUGGCUCACCAAGGCAUCGAUCAGUAGCUGGUCUGAGAGGAUGAUCAGCCACACUGGGACUGAGACACGGCCCAGACUCCUACGGGAGGCAGCAGUGGGGAAUUUUCCGCAAUGGGCGCAAGCCUGACGGAGCAACGCCGCGUGAGGGAUGAAGGCCUCUGGGCUGUAAACCUCUUUUCUCAAGGAAGAAGAUCUGACGGUACUCGAGGAAUAAGCCACGACUAAUUCCGUGCCAGCAGCCGCGGUAAUACGGGAGUGGCAAGCGCUAUCCGGAAUUAUUGGGCGUAAAGCGUCCGCAGGCGGCUUUUCAAGUCUGCUGUUAAAGCGUGGAGCUUAACUCCAUCAAGGCAGUGGAAACUGAUUGGCUCGAGUGUGGUAGGGGCAGAGGGAAUUCCCGGUGUAGCGGUGAAAUGCGUAGAUAUCGGGAAGAACACCAGUGGCGAAGGCGCUCUGCUGGGCCAUAACUGACGCUCAUGGACGAAAGCCAGGGGAGCGAAAGGGAUUAGAUACCCCUGUAGUCCUGGCCGUAAACGAUGAACACUAGGUGUCGGGGGAAUCGACCCCCUCGGUGUCGUAGCCAACGCGUUAAGUGUUCCGCCUGGGGAGUACGCACGCAAGUGUGAAACUCAAAGGAAUUGACGGGGGCCCGCACAAGCGGUGGAGUAUGUGGUUUAAUUCGAUGCAACGCGAAGAACCUUACCAGGGUUUGACAUCCUGCGAAUCUCUUGGAAACGAGAGAGUGCCUUUGGGAACGCAGUGACAGGUGGUGCAUGGCUGUCGUCAGCUCGUGUCGUGAGAUGUUGGGUUAAGUCCCGCAACGAGCGCAACCCACGUUUUUAGUUGCCAGCAUUCAGUUGGGCACUCUAGAGAGACCGCCGGUGAUAAACCGGAGGAAGGUGUGGAUGACGUCAAGUCAUCAUGCCCCUUACAUCCUGGGCUACACACGUACUACAAUGCUACGGACAAAGGGCAACGAACUCGCGAGGGCAAGCAAAUCCCAUAAACCGUGGCUCAGUUCAGAUCGUAGGCUGCAACUCGCCUACGUGAAGAAGGAAUCGCUAGUAAUCGCAGGUCAGCAUACUGCGGUGAAUACGUUCCCGGGCCUUGUACACACCGCCCGUCACACCAUGGAAGUUGGCCACGCCCGAAGUCGUUACUCCAACCCUUGUGGAGGAGGACGCCGAAGGUGGGGCUGAUGACUGGGGUGAAGUCGUAACAAGGUAACC